RNAcentral lists this ribosomal RNA (478 nucleotides) under uncultured bacterium. RNAcentral's name for it is "partial 16S ribosomal RNA". It matches the Rfam family "Bacterial small subunit ribosomal RNA", at positions 28 to 507 of the family's 1533-position model. The record is from RNAcentral.
GAUGAACGCUGGCGGCGUGCUUAACACAUGCAAGUCGAACGAGAAAUGGAGACGGAAACCUUCGGGCGGAAGGCUUCAUUUCGAGUGGCGGACGGGUGAGUAACGCGUGGGUAACCUGCCUCAUACAGGGGGAUAACAGUUGGAAACGACUGUUAAUACCGCAUAAGACCACAGCACCGCAUGGUGCGGGGGUAAAAACUCGGGUGGUAUGAGAUGGAUCCGCUUUCGAUUAGCCAGUUGGCGGGGUAACGGCCCACCAAAGCGACGAUCGAUAGCCGGUCUGAGAGGAUGACCGGCCACAUUUGGACUGAGACGCGGCCCAGACUCCUACGGGAGGCAGCAGUGGGGAAUAUAGCAAAAUGGGGGAAACCAUGAUGCAGCGACGCCGCGUGAGUGAAGAAGUACUUCGGUAUGUAAAGCUCUAUAAGCAGGGAAGAAAAUGACGGUACCUGAGUAAGAAGCACCGGCUAACUACGUG